Molecule: long non-coding RNA, 4534 nt
Organism: Centruroides sculpturatus (bark scorpion)
Lineage: Eukaryota; Metazoa; Arthropoda; Arachnida; Scorpiones; Buthidae
Exons: 3
Source: RefSeq, a predicted model, not a curated record
AGUGAAAUAUAGGGACAUACAUGUCCAUUUAUAUAUAUAUAUAUAUAUAUAGAUAUAGAUUAAAAUGUUAGUACUUACUAUUUUUGUAAUCAUUCAAAAAAUAUAUACCCUGAUAAAUGAGGGUUUACAAAACUGAGAUUAAACGUAGACAUUUGCAAAAGAGCAAGUUAAAAAACCAUACAUGUUUGUGAUAAUGCACGAAAAUCGCAGCGUGAACCAGUUCAAGCGGUUCUACUAGAGAACGCAAGCCAAAAGCUAAAGCCAACCGCCAUUACCUGGUCGGUAUCAAUACAUAAUAUACGGUACUUCUUUUCAUCUUUUUCCCUUUUUGUCCGGAGAGCACUUUUUUGGGGCCACCGUGGAUUUAACCAGGCCCGUAAUGGACGAGAGACGGUCCCGACAUAUCCGGAACAGACAGCUGACGAAAAAUGUCUGGAAAGUUCCCCGAAUUCGAUCUCGGAUUUCCCAAAACGGCAAGCCGGCGCCUUUACCGUCUCGGUCAUCCAGUCGUAUAAAUAUAGUAUUAUAAAUAACAAACAUUAUUUAAAUAAUUAAAAUACACAAGAAAGUAAUUUUAAAACAGAACUUAUUUAAGAAGAAAAAAAAAUUCCUCCAUAAAGAAAUGAUAUCAAGAGCAACAAUGUUCUUGUGCGGUAAUUUCGAUUUGUUAUAUAGAACUUCGGUUGUAAAGUAUAAAAUUUUGAAACGAUUUUUGACUAAAGAAUUUAUUUCUGUCUGGAGAAAAAGUUAGUAAACGUUAAUGACAUCAUUCUUAUUGUAUAAUUGAUAUAAAUGACGUCCGGUUUGUUGCAGAGAGAUCUGGCAAGCACGGGAAGAGACGUAAGAGCAGAGAUCGCUGGGGGACAAGAAGGAUCCGAAAUAAAAUACUUAAAAAUUCAACAAUUAAAAGUUUGCAAGGAUUUGUCACCAGGGGGAGGCUACAGAAAUUACUUUUACCAGUGCACUUCUCCAGUAGUUAUAAAGGUGCGAAAAUUCCCGAAUGGAAAGAAUGAAGAAACAGGAAGAUAGCUGUAAGAUCCACUGAUUCCAAUUUUAACUUUAUAAUUUUAAUUGGAUAUUUUUCUGUGUUUUUUAAAGGAAUGCUUUUAAACUUGAUGCCAAGCAGACUAAAAAAGAAUGUCAGGUUGUCAGAAGUUUAUGUUCUGGAACACGUGAAGUGAAUAAAAAUGGUGGUUUACCAAUUUUUCGCACAGUCUGUUCUAUGGAGAAAUUCAAAACAGAUUUAAUAUCCCAAUCAAAGAAUUACAAUUUUUUCCAACAAGCCUUAUCAGCUGUUCAAAAAUAUGUGGAGGACUACAUAUAAAUAAUUGGAGGACUGCAUAAUCUUCGAAAACCUCUAUCUUCAAAGAAAAUAGUUUUAUACCACCAUACAGGAAAAUAGUUUUAUGAAGACCAUCUAAAAAAUAUCUCUCAUCCUAAGUUACUCAUUGAGUUCAAUUUGCUAUUAAUCUUAAAGGAAUAAUGUAUAAAUGCAUAGAAACAGGACAUAAAUAUGAUUUUAAAGAUUUUUUUUUACCAGUUACGCUGAAAGAGUUUUAUCUCCAUUUUUUGGCUUGGAAACAUGUCGAUAAUGCGAUAGAAAAAAUUCUAAGAGACAUAUAGAUCGCUGUUAUAUUAGGUAGUGGAUAGGUAAUUCAUAAAUUAAAUUUCACAGCCGUUUAUAGAUCGUGAUAUGAUGGUGUGGUUCUAUAAUUUUACCCAAAAAAAUGAGUGAACAAAAAAUGUCUUUUAAAUAUUCACUGUAAAGAUGAUAAUGUUUCGUUAAGUAUCUACUUAUAGAAAAUACUUAAAAUUUAUUAAUAGUUUGAAUUAGUGCUGUGCGAUGUCUAUAAUUUUAACAUCGAUGUUUGCCUAAGCAUCAAUGCUAAAUUUCAAUGUCGGAUUUCACAUCGAUGUUUGGUCAAUGCCUAGUGGAACAUUGAUGUUCAAUCAAGAUAAACUCAAACAAUUUAAAAAAAAAAACAAAACUUAAUUUUAUUUUCAAUAUGUAUAGUUCAAUUACAGUUCCAAUGCAUAUAGUUCUUCAAUUGAUAAUGAAUUUAAAACUAGAAGUUUGUGUACAUUCUUUGGCUUUAAAGAACUCCGCUUUUUGUUGAUAGUAUUUCCAGCUUUGGAAAAUAAUCUUUCUGCUGGAACUGAAGUGGCAGAAAUGCAAAGCCACUUUAUGGCAAGUUCACAUAAAUUAUAGUUUAAAACAUUUCGUGGAUUUCCACACAUCCAAAGCAUUAUUAUUGUGAGGCACAAUAGGGGCAUCUAAAAAAGUUUUAAAAUUUGAAUUUAAAGUUCCAUUUGUGUUAACAUUUUCUAUCUUAAUAUCAGUUUUUCUGGAUGACCGAAGGUCACCUUCAAGUUGAUUUUCUGCAUUAUUGUGAAAACUUAUUUGAGCCUCAGCAGAGGGAAAUUUACAAAGUUCUGCAUUUACAUGUUUAAUUGCAUUUUCACAACAUGCUGGACUUUUAAAAUCUAGCUUUUUAAACCUUGGGUCUCGUAAUGUGGAAACACUAUAUAUUAACUUCGUCUCAGUGUAUUUAAAACAGAAAUCAAGAUUACUAAAACAUUUUUCCAGUAACUUCUUUCCCACAUUUGUUUCUGUAGAAACCUUGCAAAGUGUAUUAAACAUUAACCCUAAAAAUGGGAUAAUUUUACUGAUGAUAGUGUGAGUUUCUGCUGAAAUCUCAUUAGUUACUUUAUAAAAAGGUUUUAGUACUUUAAGCGCAUCAUUCAAAGCACUUAAUUCUCUACCAAGAGCAUGUCAGGUGCCCUUGGAAACUUGCAAUGUUAGUGUAACAAAAUUUUUUAGUAGUACAAAUCUCUCAAUCAUCAAGAAAUAUGAAUUCCAUUGAGUCUCAACAUGUUGAAUUAAUUUUAAUGUCACAGAACCUUUUUCAUUCUGCGAUGAGUUUGUUCUUUGUUGUUACUUUUCAAGCUCCUGUGUUGCAUUUUUAUUUUGAUUAAAGAAUGUGAUUAUUGACUUUACCUUGUCUAGUAUUAUGUUCAGUUCAGGUACUUGUCUUAAGGAAUCUUGCACCAUCAGAUUUAAUGUAUGUGCAAAGCAAGAAACAUGCUUUUCUUUACCAAUAAACAGCUCAAUAGAUUUCUUAACAUUUGCAGCAUUAUCUGUAACACAAGCUACAAUAUUAGAUUUAUCUAUUUUCCAAAAAACAAUCAACUCGUUUAGCACAGAACACAAGUAUUCAGCUUUGUGUGACUGAGUUAAAUAAGUCAUUCCUAGCACGUAUGAUGUAUGUCUGAAAUCCCUGAUGAAGUGUACAGUUGUGCCCAUGUAACUUCGGUGGUUCGGAGUGGUUCAGGUCCACUCAUCACAAGUCAGUGCACAAAAUUUUAAAUUGGCAUUCAUUCCGCAUGUAUUUAACAGCAGCUUCAUAUUAACUGUCUAUGUGCUUUGUAAUCAUUGCCCGAUGUGGAACUUGAUAUCUUGGUGCUGCUGUUGCCAAGAACUUCUUAAACUCUUCUCCGCUCACAAUAUCUACAGGACGAUUAUCCAUUACUAACCAUAAAGUUAGUGCCUUCGAGACUGCUUCAGCCUUAUGUCCUCCUAAGUAAAGGCAUAUAGAUAUAUUUAGAUUAUAAAUUAUCUAAAAAUUAUGAAGUGGUCACGGAGUUGAUAAAUUCACUCAUUAAAUGUAAUAUAAUUACACUUAUGUAAAAUCAGACAAUCGGGUUAAAGCAUUCAUUGAUUGUUGACUGUGUACACAAUGACGUUGACGAACAUAUGCUGCUAAGCCUACAUAGGCUAUUCUGAUUGUUGUCAACUUCAGCUUGGUUUUCCAGUUCGUCUAUUUCCUUGCGACUUCUUUUAUGUUGGAGUAGUUUUAAUGGCAAUUCAAAUGUGGCAUGAAAUAUGUGGUGUUGCCAGUAACUUUAAGCCAUUUAAGACAAAUUAAACACUGAGCCUUGUCACCUUCCUUGUUUUUCUUAAAAUAUUUCCAAAUCUUGGAAAAAUGCUUCGCACAUCACCCAAAGUAGCCAUGAUACUGAAUACGAAUGCACAUCACACGAGGUGGAACAAAGAAUGAACUGCAUGCAUAUCGAUGAAGCAAAAUUCAGAUAUUGCUAACAUCGAUUCAGGAUCGAUGUUUCAAAAACAUUGGAAGGUUGAUGCAUCGAUGAACAAAAACAGUGAUGCAUCGCACAGCACUAGUUUGAAUUUAAAAUUUCCUGUUUUUGAAAAACCAAAAUUGUUUUUAAUGUUAUCAUUGUAAUCCUUCUUUUGAUGUAAAUGUUCUUUUUUAUUCAAAUAAAAGAGAGAUAGUAUCGUUGUUGUCGUUUAUUUAAACAAAACAUACACCACUGCGACGUAUAUAUAGCAUAAAAGAAUAGAUAAAAUGUAAAAUAAUGAGUAGCUUGUUCUGAUUCGCGGCGGCCUUGUAAUGGGUAAGCCUAUAGGAAUGGACUACUCAUUGCUUUUUUUUAAUAUCAAAAUAAUAAUUUCAUUGGCAGAUGGCACCAUAAUAAAUAUAUUUAUUUAAAUUUUAUAUUUUAAUACAGUGGG